GUUUAUUAUCUGCCCUUCCUUUCCAACUAUAUGUGCUCUUAGGGUGACUUGACUUAGUUGGUGUUAGGAAUUUGGACUGAUCUACAUCUAAGAGUGAAAAAAAGAAAACAGCUAUCUGUCCACUAAAGAUAUGUUUCUAGUUGCCCUGGCAACCAACAAUUGGGCGUAGUUAACUAUUUACAGUUUCCAAAGUGAUUACAAAUGGGUCUCACCUAGCCUCGCCCAUUACCUGUUGGCACUGGAAUGCCCUCUUCAGUCUUGGGAAAGAAGUGACAAAGAGAGAUUCGAAGAAUAUUUGCAGGGGAACAGGACUCCAUCUGACUAAGAAGCCGUGUGCAGCAAGGUGUCUGUAAGGUGUUGGACUUGUCUCCAGUGCCCACUGUGGCCAACAUUUUGUGAAGAGGACGAUCUAGACCCGGCAAAUAACAUGCUGAUGCUACAUUCCCUUCUAUUCCAUUGCUAUGAGAAAGUGCUCCUGACCUCCAGGAAAAUUCUUCUCUGGUGACUCUUCAUGGAGGUGACCUUAAUUUUUAGGAAUUUAAAGAAGACCUAAAGGAAGGUCUGUGUUCAAACCCCACCUACCCGUGUGACCUAGCAGUGUGGCCAUAGGCAAGUCAUUCAAUUUCUGUGAACCUGUUUCCUUAUCGGUAAGAAUGGGUAUGAUAAUACUAGUAGUACCUAUCUCAUAGAGUUGG
This 695-nucleotide long non-coding RNA is filed under the name Sarcophilus harrisii (Tasmanian devil). RNAcentral's name for it is "lncRNA (ENSSHAG00000028347.1)". The record is from RNAcentral. Lineage: Eukaryota; Metazoa; Chordata; Mammalia; Dasyuromorphia; Dasyuridae.